This 253-nucleotide ribosomal RNA is filed under the name uncultured bacterium. RNAcentral describes it as "partial 16S ribosomal RNA". It matches the Rfam family "Bacterial small subunit ribosomal RNA", at positions 524 to 776 of the family's 1533-position model. The record is from RNAcentral.
GACAGAGGGUGCAAACGUUGUUCGGAAUUACUGGGCGUAAAGGGCUUGUAGGUGGCCAACUAAGUCAGACGUGAAAUCCCUCGGCUUAACCGGGGAACUGCGUCUGAUACUGGAUGGCUUGAGUUUGGGAGAGGGAUGCGGAAUUCCAGGUGUAGCGGUGAAAUGCGUAGAUAUCUGGAGGAACACCGGUGGCGAAGGCGGCAUCCUGGACCAAUACUGACACUGAAAAGCGAAAGCCAGGGGAGCAAACGGG